UCCAUAAAUCCUAAAAACCUUCACCUAUACUGAGCUAUUUUAUAUGUAUAUAAAAAUUAUUAUGCUAGAACAAGUAACAAGAAACUGCCCUUCUCCUAAAUGCAAGCAUAAACCAAAACGGACAACACAUUGGUAAUUAACGUAAAUGAGUAUAAUAUAGUAACUCCCACUAGAAAAGCCUAUGUCAUUUCAACGUUAACCUUACACAAGAGCAUUACAGAAAGAUUAAAAGAGAAAGAAGGAACUCGGCAAACCUUAGCCCCGCCUGUUUACCAAAAACAUCGCCUCUUGCCCCCCCAUAAGAGGUCCAGCCUGCCCGGUGACAUAUUUAACGGUCGUGGACCCUAACCGUGCGAAGGUAGCAUAAUCACUUGUCUUUAAAUAGGGACUUGUAUCAACGGCAUCACGAGGGCUGUACUGUCUCCUUUCUCUAAUCAGUGAGACUGAUCUCCCCGUAAGAAGCGGGGAUCUAGCUAUAAGACGAGAAGACCCCAUGGAGCUUUAAGUAAGGUAUUUAACCUAUGUCUAUAAACUAGACUAUAAGGCCCUAAAUACUAACUUUAGGUUGGGGAGACCACGGAGUAUAACUCAUCCUCCGCGACUAACGGGUUACGCCCUUAUCUACGAAUCACAAUUCUAAGAAUCAAUAAACUGAUGUUUAAUGACCCGAUAAUUCGAUCAACGAACCAAGUUACCCUGGGGAUAACAGCGCAAUCCACUCCAA
This 724-nucleotide ribosomal RNA is filed under the name Occidozyga cf. laevis KU 327053. Its description in RNAcentral is "partial large subunit ribosomal RNA". It matches the Rfam family "Bacterial large subunit ribosomal RNA", at positions 1532 to 2495 of the family's 2925-position model. The record is from RNAcentral. Lineage: Eukaryota; Metazoa; Chordata; Amphibia; Anura; Dicroglossidae.